GACUACUAGCGUAUCUAAUCCUGUUUGAUACCCACACUUUCGAGCCUCAGUGUCAGUUGCAGUCCAGUGAACUGCCUUCGCAAUCGGUGUUCUGUGUGAUAUCUAUGCAUUUCACCGCUACACCACACAUUCCUCCCACGGCAUCCGCAUUCCAGCAAGGCAGUAUCAAUGGCACUUCACCCCGUUGAGCGGGGGCAUUUCACCGCUGACUUACCCCACAGCCUACGCACCCUUUAAACCCAAUAAAUCCGGAUAACGCUUGCAUCCCCCGUAUUACCGCGGCUGCUGGCACGGAGUUAGCCGAUGCUUAUUCGUACGGUACUCUCGUCUGGCCACACGUGACCAUUAUUGCUCCCGCACAAAAGAAGUUUAACGCCCAUAGGGCACUGACCUUCACGCGGCAUGGCUGGUUCAGCCUUCCGGCCAUUGACCAAUAUUCCUCACUGCUGCCGCCUGUAGUC
Molecule: ribosomal RNA, 461 nt
Filed under: uncultured bacterium
Lineage: Bacteria
Description: partial 16S ribosomal RNA
Source: RNAcentral